Molecule: RNA transcript, 10327 nt
Organism: Lethenteron reissneri (Far Eastern brook lamprey)
Lineage: Eukaryota; Metazoa; Chordata; Hyperoartia; Petromyzontiformes; Petromyzontidae
Gene name: basic-leucine zipper transcription factor A-like
Source: RefSeq, a predicted model, not a curated record
GCCAGCUCGCGGCUCAGCCCACAGCUUUCUCCCUUUGCUCAGCCAACCCUGAAUUUCUCAACACUCGUUAAUAUCUUAAACCUCAACGUUUUACGCGCAUUUCUAGUUGAUUUUGUGUGGUGGACACGCGGGUUUCUUUUUUUGUAUUAAUCUCCAAAAGCGAAUUAAACAGCAUUACGAUUUCUUCCGAUGAUAACGACAAUAAUUAUUUAAUUUCAUAUUUUUUUAAAAAAAAUUAAAGAGCGAGAGAGAGAACAACCAAGCUUCAAAGGGGGGUGGUGGUUGCUCGCAUUCAUUGGGGGGGUCAUUCUAGCGGCGGUGCCGCGCCGUGCGCAAUGCGUCCCAAAGCAUUAAAUUCUCCGCCACGCUCGCACCGUGUGAGUGGAGGAGGCGAGAGGACGCGGGUGGACCUCACCAUGGCACGCAUGGCUGGCCCCCUCCUGGGAGGGACACUGCUGGGCCUCUCCGCCUCGCUCUCCGCAGCCCUCAACCUUGCCCUGCUCUUCCAACUGCAAGGGGCAUUUCGGCAGCAGAGGUGCGACGACCAGCAUCAGCACGCGACUGAGAAACAGCAGCAGCAGCAACAGCAUCAGCAGCAGCCGUCGCAUCAUCAUCAACAGCAGCAGCAGCACCCACCUCAAACGCCCCAACAACAGCAGUUCCAAGACCUGCUGCACCAUCACGAGCAGCUGCAGCAGCAGCAUCAAUACACGGAGCAGCAGUUGCAGUACCCGGCGUUCCAACCGCAGCAGCAGUUGCAGCAGCAGCAGCAGCCGCAGCAGCAGACGGAUGAGAGUGGUAAUGCUGCAGGUGCUGCUGCUGCUAUCAUGAGAACGUCGGCCAUGUGUCUUGCCGCCGUGGCGUUGAGUCUGAACCUGUGCUGUGCGUCCAUCUGUGUCAUACACGCCCUGCUGGCUUCGAGAAUGGUGCACGCUCACAGGGCUCAGCGGUUUGUGGAGAGCACUCAGAAAGCUCGCUUGGUAACCAUGGCUCUCUUCUGCCUCGCUCUGCUCUCCUUCACCGCAGCUCUGUCCCUGCACGCCUUCUUGGUUCUGGACGUCCCGGCCUUCCUGGCGUGCGCCGGCGCGCUGGGCUGCGGCGUUUUACUCUCCGCCUCGGGCCUAAUACACGGCCUCGCUGCGGCCCGCCGCUCGGCCCAGCUUCCCGCCCGGGUCCCCCGCGCCCCGGCCACCCUCAUGCCCCCUCCGCCGCUCCCGCCGCCCCAGCAGCAGCACCACCAGCACCAGCAGCAUCACCACCCGCAGCAGCACCAGCAGCCGCAGCAGCAACAGCCACCGGGCUCGGGCCUGCAGGCCGAAGCCUCGGCUUGCAGGCCCGAGCCUCGGGCCCGGGCGCUCAGCUUCUGGAACCAGGUGGCGCUGAGCGAGCACGGGCGGUCGGACGACAACGGCGACGAUUUCACGCUGGCGGCGAACGACUGCGCCGCGGCAGGGCCCGGGGGGGCGGCCGGCGAGGAGCUGUGCACCCUGAGCGCAUCGCUGCCACACCCGCGCCACCACCAGCGGGUGCCACCGCACAAUGGGCGCGAGAGAUUCGUCGACGUCCCCGCGGAGUCAUGCGGCAGCCGUCGCAAAACCGCCUCCAUGUCCGACAUCGUAGCCGAAUCGCGAAGGCAGCAGCCGCACCAGCAGCAGCCUCACCAGCAGCAGCAGCACCAACAGCAGAAGCAGCAGCAGCACCAGCAGCAGCACCACCACCACCAUCAGCAGCAACAGCCGCCGCCGCAGCAGCAGCAUCAGCAGCAACAACAGCGUCAUCACAUGGAUCCGCUCUCAUUGCUCAGCAGCAAGAUGGCGGCUGCUGGCGGCGGUUGCUCGGGUAGUGCGACGAUGGGAUCACGUGACCGGCAAGGAGCCAAUCAGCAUGGGCCGGUGUCUGGAGACGCCCGGCCGUGGAAUGGCGUGACUCGUGAACUCAAGGCAGCGCAGGCUCGAUGGAGGCUCACCGAUAUCAGCAACACGACGCUGGUGUGAGCCGUGGGCGAAGGCUUUGCGAUCAGCGGGCAUACACACACUUAGCGAUUUUUUUUUUUAAUGAGCGACCUGGCUUUGCGAUGGUGCAAAGUCGUCGGGAUGCGGUAAAGCGACAUCACAGAGGUAUUUGCAAACACUGUUUACAAAUUCUUCUCACUCGUUCCGUUGUCGACUGGCCGGGCAGGUUACUCAAAAGGUCAAGAAGGAGUUGACGUGGAGUAGUCGACAAAACUGAACUUUUCUGCCGACCUUCUGAUCAAUGAAGGUGGCGUUGGCCAAAAACAAACGUGUGGACCGGCUCGACUCUCUCGGUCUGCUUCGAUCGUUUCCCACCACCCAGGGCAGCCACUUCCACAACUAAUGCUGAGCAACACAAGUACGGUUGCCAUCUCUUGAGGUACACAAAAAAAACCAGGACAUACCAUGGGAAGAAUAUCAUACAAUACCAAGAGGGGGGAACGACAUGUAAAUGCAUCGUCUUGAGUGGUGUAUCGUUACAUAUUAUAAUUAUUACACAACUGGCAAAAACUCGGACUUUUAAUGUCCUGGGAAGACUCGCAGAUUUCCCCGGACAGCGGCUUGGGCCUCCUCAACCAAGGGGAGGCAAUCCCGGGCAAAACCAGGAGAGGUGGCAACCGUAGACGUGAGUGACCAUAGGGCAUCAACACCAGUGUCCAGGUUGUACGCAAUGAACAACCAUGGAAGGACGCUGAUGUCGCGUCAUAUAUUCGCUUACGGUGUCGCACGUGUGCACUGUGUAUCUUUAACCGGGUCAGAGGGGUGGCAGUCAACCCAGCAGGCAAGCGGGGUGAGGCCACAGGGUUGGUUGGUAAGCCCUCGCCUUGCCGACCGCCGUUUCUGCGACGUCGGCUGAGGUGUGCGGUCGAGGUCGGCUUCGUUUUGACCGCCGGAAGGUCGCGGCAGGGUCAGAUGUCGACAGUCGCCGAUAACGGCCUCGGCCAACGUUGCCCAGUUCUAUCCCCUGCUGCUGCCGCCAUCGCCGUUCUUAGGACAAGGACCAAGUGAGGCAUGUCCCGUUCAUGUCACCCGACCGAGAUCCCCCAGGACGGGACGUGAGUGCCUCCCUGGUGUCGGCUGAGUAGGCGGUCCAAGUCGCGGUGUUUUUUGGCGCGACGGGACAAAAAGUCGCUCGGGGGAAAGAAAUAAAAACAAAAAAUCGCUAAGUGUGUUAUGCGUCGGUAAAGGCAGGCGCAACCCCAAAACGAGCGCUCCCAGCUUAGCGUGGACGAUUGUCGCGACGUCCGUACCCCGUCGAUCGGUGCAGGGGCAAAGUUAAAACUUCUGUCAAGGAGACUUCACGUUCUCGGGGUCAUACCGCUCGGCAUGACGUCUGACGUUCCGCUCCACGUGCAAGGGAGCUUCUUCGGAAGCCGAAUUGUUUCCUGAACACACAACCAUUUUUCCUGCCAAAUUAUAUACUCCAGUCCAUCGUGCUAACAUACGAUGAAUUUGUAGCCCCUUUUUACAUGCUUAAAUAUGAAUGCAAACGGAAUUAUUAUCAGGCCUUUGCGAAUUUUCUUCUGGAUCGAUUUCCUACCCCAUGCCAGGUCUGUCAAGGGAGUUGUUGGGCCAUACUUCACCACGAUGGUCAGUUAAUUUUGGUAAAGGUGGCAACCAGAACUACUGGUUCAUUGACGUUAGCCGCGGCUGGGGAAUCGAUCUUGAGGCCACCAAGUUCAUAGCAUCGUGCAUUAGCCACUGACAAGAGUUCAAUCUCUGAGGACUAAAAAAUAUUUGGUGUGAAUGCCAAGUGACAAACAGGGCACAGCAUGGAUAGGAGUCAAUGGAGCGGACGUCAGAAGUAGUUCUGUUAAGUCCCCUUCCGCGGGGUGUUCACGUGACGCGAUUCCGUCAUUGGAAUAACAUUUUUUGACAAAAGGAAAAGUAAAAAAAUUAAAAGUGCACUUUUCACGAUCGGCGACGAUUGAAAUCCCCCCGCAGAACGGACACAAAACGGGCCGUUGGGUAGCGUCCCUUGGCGUCACGCGCGCUUGCUGGUUCGCUUCUUUGGGUUGCGCCUUCGUUAAAGCGACGGCGUGAGUACGACGGAGACUAUAGCAAUUGUCAAAAAAAAAACAAAUACUAUACAAAUUACGUAUAUAUCAAGUUCUGGUAGGUAUACUCGUAGCAUCGUUCACUUCGACGGAGACCGACGUGAAUAAGGCAGCCUUCAAACUGCCGGAGGCAGCUCAUCGUGACGUGUCCUCGUAUUUUCCAGACUACCCAUCCCCCCCGUUCCCUUCUAACCAGUCGUGCAUUCGUGUGUUGUAAGAUUCUCAUAUUUCUCGAAGGAGGGGGGGGGGGGCAUCAUUCGCCUGGAGCUGAAGGCGACGGGAAUGAAAUCAGUUUCAGGGGGAUGCUGCACGGUGUCGGAGUGGGUGUGGGUGGAGAAUGAGAAGAGCCCAGAUAGACAAGGAGUCAGAUAUGAAGGCAUGAGGCGAGACAGAAGAUAGAGCCUGUGAGACACACGGGAAGACACGCAGACAAAUACAGAGAGGCGCGGACAGAGACAGAAGACUCGGGAAGGCAAACGUACGGAGAGGCAUUGGAGAGAGACAGACACAUAUCGAGACAAACACAGAGGGAAACAGACACGAAGACUUGCAGACAAGUGGACACAGAGAGACAAGGUGGCUACGCAGAGACAAGAAGAGCAAGAGGCAAGCGGAGGUAGAGACACAGAGAUGCGGUCAAGCCGUAGAAAUGGAGAUGCAGCGAGAGACAUGGAGAGAGACAGUAACAGUACAUAGCUUCACCGUUAGUUCAACGAAGCUCCUAUUAUAAUCUGCCAUCAGAUUGUCCGCUACAACUGCUUUCCAUGGUGCAGAAUUGAUCGGAAAAUACUAAUUUUGUUUGGGCCUCAAUUACUCCGAUUAUCCAUAAUUUGGAGACAAACCAGGAAGCAACCGCGCCCUCUACUGCCGCCCAUUUGCAGGCCGGUGCUGCUGGUGCGGCACGGGGACAGCUGCCACUGGGGGUACCCUUGGUAUAGACUACAGCAGGGCGUUGGAAAGCUUGAGUUGGGAAGUGAUGUGAAGGCGAUUUCUCGCCCCUCCGAUGCGCACGGUAGGUGAAGUAGGGAGCGAAAGAAGUUCAACAUAAGUACGUACCGAAACAGGAGGACUUUCUAAACAACUCCGGCUAUCUCCUGAUGAGGCUGGUUGUAAUCACCAGCGAAAACGUUGUACACAAAUCGUAAAUGUUGUGGGGUUACUCUCCAACACAGCGGUGUGCUGUACCAGUAACUAAUUGGCACGUUUUGUUUACGUGACAAACCUUACUAAUUGUCUGUGUCGGGUGGUGGUGGGUUUAACGACACAUUUAUAUUUACACGAUCUAACCCAAAAAACCCUUUAUUAUGCAUAAUAUCGGUCGUGACAGCCUACGUGUUAAACAUACGUCCUCUUAUCCACGUAUUAAAGGCGUCGGUGUGGCAACUUCAUCGUCACCACCAUCAUCAUCACCAUCAUCACCAUCACCCUAUUGUCCGUGAUUAUCCAUGGAUAACCACGCAGACAAGCGGAGGAGUUACUUUCAUGGUUUUUUGCGGAGAUAUAUGAUUUUGUCAAUGGCGACCCCUACCCACAUCGACGCGGAUAAUAGGAUUUUUGCUCGUUUGUUGUAGCGGCGGCCGUAUUCAAGCUCAAAGAUUUUUGUUGGGGGGUCGGGAGGGGGGUAAGGGAGAUGGGGUGGGGGAGCAGGAGGGGAAGGCACUUGACUGGGUCUAAGUACAGCAUUUGUCGCCACUUUUGUUUGCGUGAAUCCUCCUGUGUGGUGGUGAUGGCAGUGGUGGUGGAGAUAUGUGGUUUAUAGGUAGCGCAGUAUUAACCCUUUCCCGUGCCGAUGAUGUCCGUGUACGUCAUUAGAACGGAAUCGGAAUAAAAACGAAAGCAAAAUAACUCCGUCGGUACCGAGGCUCCCACAAGGCCAUGCGGGAGACUGUGUGGCACAGUUUGGCGCUAGCUAUCAUAAAGUGUGGUCGUGUCGCUACAGUUCUCUGCGGUGAGUACAAUGUAUUUAAAAGCAGCGGUGCUAUUACGCCUCUGUAAAUAAAAUUCACGCUGAACCGCUUGCGUUUUCCGAGAUUCAACGGUGAAUGGGAUAACCACCCUGCAACUUGCAGUUGUCUGGCAACGGGAAAGGGUUAAGUAGCCAGCAGAUUGCUGACUGCAAAUCACCUGUGCUGACUUGAGUAAGCAAUCGCUCCCCCGUACACUAUGACGAGGUAUACCUGUAAGAAUUACUCCCUUACCCUGAGAAUUGUCACGAUUCGGUUUUUUUUUUACUCGGAGGUGCUUUGUAGCAUCCCCUUUAAGUGGCUGCACAGGCCACGUGAACUACGCAAGAUGAUCGAGAGUGGCGAAGAUAAUAGAUGCACACGGGGACGGCACGGUGUGUCAUCAUAAACAUGCGCAUGGUGCACCGUGAGUGUAAGAUUCGGUAGUUAUGGAUGAACCGAUGGCAUCGAUGCACCCGCUCCGCUGGGUUGAGGUGUUGGGCCAAGCGCGUCCGUGGCCCAGAAAUGCUUUCGGGCCGGGCGCACAACACCUGAGCAAUCGGUUGCAUGCAGCUGAAUCACUUACGCGUUGAAAGGGAUCUGCUCAGAGAUUUGUAGCAACAUCUUUCACCACGUGACAAAUUUUUUAACUGUGAUUGGUUACGGUCCUGAUGUGGGUGGGUGGUUGGUGGGAGGAGCUAAGGAAAAAAUGGCGGGGCGAGGCUACAAAGGGUGUGGCCAGACGCGUCCUGACCGCACAACUACCUGCUCGGAUGCGGAAAAAGCAGUCGCAGGCAAUGUUUGAGGUUAAUCACCAGAGUGAUCUGAUUGCGCAACUUUAUUGCUCAGGUGUGGGAGCCGGCUUUUUCGAAGCGUGGUUGGUGGAUCGCGGUUGAGAGUUAUUGCGUGGAACAACUUCCACCCGCAGGACACCCCGCCCCGGGGCGAAUGCAGAACGACCAACAGGAGGCUGCUGGCCUGCGUCUAAAUUGAGUGGCCCCCUCUUGUACGCAUGGCCGUUGGCCCGGCGACUUCGUCACCUCCGGUGUUCCUCCCCAUCACGUGCAAACAUGCAGAGGCGCAUCCGUAGAACGUCGCAAUGUAGCGGGGACCGUCGCGUGACGAAGAUGAGUCUUGAGACUCGGUUGAGGUUCCCUUGCGUAACCAGUCUAGAGAUAAAUCGAUGCGGGUGAACCCUUUUGGAAGGGAUGCCCCGGGCGAGAGCAUAACACACAUGCUCCUUUAUUGUUGUUGUUGUAAAGUAGUCACAGGUAACUUGCGAAAUUCGGGACGAGGGCUAUUUCACUGUUCAUGCAAUGGCCUAACCCUUGCAAAUUAUAUCACAGGGUCUCUCACCACGGACCGCGGCCGGGCUUGGGCAAGGCAGUCUGUUUUGCAGAAGUUUAGCGCGUGGGCUGUAGUGGGAAUCAAACUGCAAACCUCAAAGGGCACUGGCUCGGUGGCAAGCCAAGCGGAUAGCCAGAUCGUCGAUGCGCUCGACACGUGUUAUGGUCCGAGAGCGCGAUCGUCGUGGGACGAUGUCAAAGUUUGACGGUUACUCCGAAAACUCAAGUAGUGCUUAUUGUUGCUCGAGUGGGAAAAAAAAUUCGUCGUGUGGCACACGCAAACACACACACACGUGCAACACACACACACAUGCAACACACACACACGUGGCCGAUCGGAGAGGACGCGUGUGGUGGGGUAAAGUGUGGGCACUCUCACAGUUUUCAAAGACGUCUGGCGAAAGUCCCGACCAGACGGUGUAGUUCCUUCCGCCAGCAGCAGCAGCAGCAGCGUGAUAUAGAACAUUUGCAGGGCUGCACUUUUACCGUCUGCAAGAUGUGAAUCCGAGAUCUACAGGGAUAUUUCAACUUUUCUAAAUAUUUUAUUCUUGUUUCACUCAGGACACCGCCUGCAUGUGAAAUUGUAAGUUAUUGCUCUGCGUCUACAUGAAGCCGUACAAAAAGAAGAGCGGCAGUAUGGAAGCAAUUCAAAUGUGGCGUGCAGUGGUGAUAUCUAAUAAUCAUAAUAACUUGGAUUUAUUUAUUUUUGAAUUGCCAUAGCAUCUAAAAGCACCUUGCACCACAUCUCAUCUCAGACAGUUAUGUUUUAACAUUUUCCCAGACAAGGCCCACAAUGAGAUAUACAGUUUAUUUUUUCCCAGAAGCGAUCUGGCCACAAAUGAAAGCCCAGUCAAGUGGCUUGCCACGUGGGAAUUUAUAGCAGCCAAAUACUCUCAACACAUGUUGAUUCUAAAUGUGGAGGGAAACCACGGAGGACCCGGAGAAACAAUCCACGCGACCACCAAGUGUCGGGAUCGAACCCACGAACUCCUGUAUAUCAGGCGAGGUAAUUAACAAUUCGCUUCGACAGGGGGGAACCUCCCUCAGUGGCAGCUGUCCCCGUGCAGUACAAGGCCGGUGACUCAGCACCGCACCGGCCCCUAAGUUUGCCUUUCAUCUGCCACUUUUCGGGGGAGCGGGAGGGGGGGGUGAUUGCCACCGCUGCUGCUGCUGCUGUUUAACUGGCAGGUUAUUUUCCAACACCCGUGGGUGCAAAUGCUCUCCUUCACCCCUACCCCCUUACAGGCGGGCAAUUUGAUGAAUUGUCGCGAUGUGAGGUGGGGAGGGGGGGCCGCGACUCAACGGCGUGCCCACCGCGGUGGCACCGCUACGGUCGAUUGAUGCGACGGCUGUGAAACAGCGUGGCCAUUGUGAGCGAGCACGUGACUGAUCGCGUCGCAUGAAACGGACCGAUGUGGGGGAGUGCGGCGGAGUCUCUUAUCUGAAGGCGGUGGUCUUCACUCAUGUUCAGAGGUGGGGCUGUGGGCAGGAGGUUGGGGGGGGCGGGCCCACUUUGGCCGAUAAGACAUCGUCAGCGUGAGAGCCGCCACGCGUUUGAAACCAUUGCUGGGUUUGACAUCAGCACGAUGAUGGGGGGGGGGGGGGGGGUCUUCACAUGUUGUGGAUUGUCGGAGGCCGCACGAUCACGAGGCCGCACUAAAGGCCACCAGGGGCCACCCAGUGGCCCCGCGGGGCCUUGCAAAGGAAGAACCCUGGGCUGUGGAAAUUUACCUACGCCACGGGGUCAUUACUAUGAGCUACCACAUUUGACACUUGGGAGCUUAUCUCAGAGAACACGAAACGCUAAGUCCAUGCGAUUAGUGGCCCUGAUGGUCACUCAUCUCUACUUGUCAAUUUUUGCCACCACAGCUACAUUAUUGCCCUUCUUGAAUAUUAUAAAUCCAAACAGGAUUUUAUUUUGCACUUUUUUUUUGUCAAUCCACUCCUGGAUGAGGACCCCCCCCCCCCACCAUGCCUUGAGGGCCAUGAGGUAUUUUUAGACCAUACUUCACCUCGCUGGUUGGUCAGUGCGGGUUGGUGAGGGUUGGGGUAUUGGACGGAGUGUGGGGACAUCAUGGGAUUUAAACUGUACUGCCCUCUACUCCCCCACAGCGCCCACAACACUUGUCUCGAAUGCACAGUGGUCACCCGCAGAUUACCCAGCCUCAAACCUUGCUUGGCUUUUGACAUGAUGGGGGCUCGUUCCGAUGCCAUUUCGACCACAGGCAACACGUGCCACUCGAGUUCUCACGUCUGCGAUUCAAUGAAUCUACCACGAGCUUAGCGGUGCAUCGUAACCAAAUUGAUGACAUUUACUGCACGCCCUAUUGGCAGGCCAGAGCUAUUCCAACGGUGGGGGGAGGGGGGGGGGAUCAAUCUACAUUCUCUGUACCACACGACGUUGAAUAGGGAGUAGAUAUUUUUGGUUUGUUUGGAGGAGGAGCUCUUGUACUAACGGGACUAGCUAGGUAACAGGAUCGAGCGGUGUUAGCGACGACUAACAUCGGGUACUACGUUCAUAGAUUGCCGUGGGUCUUUUAAUCGAUUAGUGCCACAAGGUUCGUCAACGGGAUACAUCGCGCGCGAGUCGUCAAUGUCCGCGUCACGUUUUGCGCGUUUUCUUUGUGCGUCGCGGUGUGUGGGCUCGCGCUGACGAGCUCCGCGUUUCAUGAUUUUGUGCUAAAAAAAAGAGAGGCCCUCUGAGGUGACUGAGAGUAGAGAUUUUGUUUCGUUUUUUUUGUCUUUUGGUUUAUCAUUAAACGUUAACUGUUCCAUUUCUAUGGCCCGUCCAAAAUGUGUGAUUGUUAUUGCCUGGUUUACAUUUAUAUGUGUGUGUGUGUAACAUAUGUACAUGUGUAACACAAGGCCGUAGCCAUGGAGUCAAGAUUGGGGGGACCAAAUCUUUCAGGGGGUCUGGGGGUCCGCCCCCAGAAAAAUAUCGAAAUUUGAAAACGAAUUUCCUGCCAUUU